Molecule: long non-coding RNA, 478 nt
Filed under: Dermacentor andersoni
Lineage: Eukaryota; Metazoa; Arthropoda; Arachnida; Ixodida; Ixodidae
Description: uncharacterized LOC126537929
Source: RNAcentral
CCUAUUACAACAGCGAUAAAGACUUCUUUUUUCAUCACGACAACGUAGACAUCUCCGUCGGUGGCUACGCGCUGUGGAAUGGAACGUGGUCACCGGGACAGGAUGUAACGGUGAUAGGCGACGGGCUGGCCGGCGAUUUCUAUGUACCGCAGACGGGAAAGUUGGUGGCACUGGUGAAAGUCUACAGGAACGGGUCCACCUUUUUUUCGGACUCCGACGACCCGUUGACAGCUCCAACAGUGAAGGCCUCGAACAACUGCUUUGGCUUGUAUUCACUGCGUAUCCUUCCGAGUCCACAUAACCUCGUAGAAUUCAAAGCCGUGACAGGCGAGAUAACGUACUAGCAACAUCUGAAUGACCAUCUCGUCUGUGGAGUACAUGGUAGUCAGGCCAAGCGACUUCAAUGUUCAUGAGUACUCAUUUGUCUGGACUUGGAUUGAAAUUGAUUCUCUUAUUAAAGCUCAAAUUAACGAUUGCA